GAUGGGGAGAGAAGUUACCACCGAACAUUUACCGAGUGUUUCAUUCAGGGAACAGAGACACGAGCCGGAGCAGCUUAUCCAGGGAACCACUGAGGAAUAUCUGACCCCAAAAAAAAGCUGACUUCCAUCCUUCCUUCCUCCUCCUCCAGUCAAGACCAGAUCCACCUACCAUCUUCCAUGUCGCCAAACUAAAGAAGAAGAAGACAGAAGAAAGAAGAAGAAGAAGAAGCAGCAGCAGCAGCAGCUCGGCUCAGUUGGACAGCGGCCGCGCGCGGACUCCUGUCGUCUGCCCCUCUCUUCUUCUUUUCUACGCAACAAAAAGAGAGUAACCAUUUCGGUCCUGGAGGAAGCGAAGAGGAAGAAGACGCAGAAGCGAAAGGCGACGAGAGAAGCGGAAGACGUGGAAGAAGACGACGGCGCAGGUGAAAGUGACAGAGGCAGAAUGAACAGCAACAAAACCGAGAAGGAGAUCGAGCAGAGUGAAUUCACCAACCACGAGGAGGAGGUCCGAACGCUAUUCGUCAGUGGACUACCGCUGGAUAUCAAGCCGCGGGAGCUCUAUCUCCUGUUCAGACCUUUUAAGGGUUAUGAAGGCUCCUUGAUCAAACUCACCUCCAAACAGCCGGUGGGGUUUGUCAGCUUUGACAGUCGAUCAGAGGCGGAGGCUGCUAAGAAUGCCUUGAACGGGGUCAGGUUUGAUCCGGAAAUCCCCCAGACCCUGCGGCUGGAGUUCGCCAAGGCCAACACCAAGAUGGCCAAGAACAAGCUGGUUGGCACCCCCAACCCCCUCCCUUCCCAGCAGAGCCCGGGGCCACAGUUCAUCAGCAGAGACCCAUAUGAGCUCACAGUGCCUGCUCUAUAUCCCAGCAGCCAGGACGUGUGGGCAUCAUACCCACUGUACCCGGCGGAGCUGUCGCAGGCCCUCCCACCCGCUUUCACCUACCCCUCCUCGCUCCACGCUCAGAUUCGCUGGCUUCCACCUGCAGAUGGAACUCCUCAGGGAUGGAAGUCCAGGCAGUUCUGCUGAAGUUCCUGAUGUGUGAUGGUGGCCGUGGCCGGCUGUGACGGGCGUUGCUGACUGCUUCUCAUGUCCAUUAGAAAAGCAAGGAGGACCGACCGGACUCCAGCACUCGGAGCAGCGUACCGUCGGCAGCAGCAGCCUCCUGGGCCUCAGGACAUUCUAGACCCCAGCCUCCAUCACACAUCGAGACCCCCACCACCGUCCCCGAAGUCCCUCCAACUCUUUUUUUUUAUACUGUUACAUACUCUAGAUUUACUGGCAGUGCUUUGGCCACACCUCCACUGACCACUCUGUGAAAAGGUACCGGGCACGCCCCUUUGUUAACCACACGACUGCAGUGGCUGUCUGAGGCUACAAUCCACACUGGUACGUUUAAGUUUAAAAACACACUGCUGUUACGCCACGCUACACGUGACCCUGAAGAAAAGGGUACCGCCUGUUUCUCCUUUGAGGUGGCAUGGUGGUGCAGUGGUUAACUCACCCCACAGCAGAAAGGUUCCUGGUCUGAUCCCAGGUCUGCCGGGGGCCCUUUCUGUGUGGAGUUUGCAUGUUCUCCCCGUGUCUGCGUGGGUUUUCUCCAGCUUCCCGCCCACAGUCCAAAGACCUGCAGAUUUGGGGUUAGGUUGAUUGGAGACUCUAAACUGAUCCAAUCUGCUUCCUAUUUACACGAUAUGUAAAAGGUCAUGUGAUGAGUUUUCAGGUGUGUACGUAUCUGAAUCGCGAGGAAAUCUCUCAUCUGGUCGUUGAUCAUUUCUUAUAAAGCCGUUUUAAAACAUAAGUGUAUUAUUGUGGACGUAGCCCAACAUUAGCCGCUCUCUUGCUUUGUGUUCUGUACGUAAUAGAAGUGUAAUGACAAGCCCGUCAAAAAAAAUACACUUUUAUUACUCAGUCACUUUGCAAGGCCAGAUGUGUGGACGUGCAGCCCAAGCACUGCUCGAUAAUGUUAUUAUAUUACUAUAAUUAUUACUCCUGUGUAUAUCAUUCAUAUUAAUGUUAUUACGAUUACUAAAUACAUGUUGAAGCAUGACUUUGCAAAAAAACGAAGAAAAAAAAACAAUGCUGUACAUUUUUAGAUAUUUUAAAGAAAUACAAAAAGGUAUUUUUGUAAUCCAGACGAUGUUUGAAAUGUUUGAUUGGUUUUUUUGUUGUGUUGAAGUGUGUGAGGAACUUUUCCUGUUUUCUGGUUUUUGUUUUGGGCCCUCUCUCGUUAGUGCCAUUAUUAAAAAAUGGCGUGUCACCCUGCUAUACCAAAGCAGCCCUGUCGGUUUGCUUUUGUCUUCUCUACAUACUGUGUGGACGCAGGUUUGCCCCGUUUGUGUCUUCGUGGCGGCGUCUUUCACCGGAUGAAGGAAAACGUAUUAGUCCGAUGUGCUGUGGUUCAACCGAGCAGUCGACGCCUGAUCCAGCUCAUCAUUUUGCAGUUUGACGUAAUCAGACGUGUAAAAACAAAAAAGGCAUUGACAGGAGUAAGCCAUCGGUGGUGAAGGAAGAGUGACCCCCCCCCCUAGAGACUCUAAAACAUGGCAAACUGAGUCCUGCUAUAAUUAGGAGCUGUCUCUUCAUUGUCUAGCAGCAGGACCGCAGCACAGUAUGGAGACAUAAAAGACCAAAGGCAUUUUUUUUUUUACACUGGAGAGCUUUCUAGGCGAGUGGAGUUAUUCUGCUUUUUGACUGCUUUGUAGUCCUCAAUCUGAUUUCUUAUGAAGUGUGACGUUAUUUUUUGCUUAAUGUCUCUUUUGGUGUCACUCCAAAGAGCCAGUCUGAAACGGAGAAGAUAUUCACUUUAGGCAAUUUGUCUCUUUUGUCUAUUUUUAGGGAGCCAAUGUGACUCAACCGGCUUUUGUAAAUUCUGAAUUUACAUAUCGGUGAUUGGAGCGCAGAGAGCAAAAAAACAACAACAACACAUCUUUUGUAAUCGUGUGUAUUCUGGGCCUGCAAUAAUGUCUUUACUGUACGACAUGUCGAGCGAUAAUGUUCCUGUGACAUUUUGACGCCAAAAUUCUCAUUCGUGUCACAUUUUGCACAAAAACAAAACCUGUGAGACUUUUACUUUCCUGGCGAGGCGAAGUCACAUUUCGCGGUGAUGUGACAAUCAAAAAAAAACCUGAAACAAACCUUUUCCCGGUGACGUUUUAGCCCAGAUGUGUACAAUCAUGUUGGACCGGUCGAAUCAUAUAGUCAGUGUUUGUAAUUAAUAAUAAUGAUAAUAUGCACGCACAUCAUAUCGACUGAUUCUAAGCAGAUUUUGCUUUUACGGACAUUUUUGACGCCGAGUGUGGCACCAAAUUUCUAAGUAUUUAUAAGGUGUGUGUGUGUGUUUUUUUAAUGGGUAUCAAGUUUUUGAAUUUCAUAGAAGAUGCCCAUCAUAUAAUUCAUUGUAAGUAUUAUUGUAAGUUUAAUUGUAUAUUCCUUUUACCGUAGGGCUCUUUUUUUUUUUCUAGAGCUUCAUAUUUGUGUUUGUAUCUGACUGAUUGGAACAAACUGUAUGUGAUAUAUGAAUACUGUUUUAUCUUCACUGUGAAAUCCAGAGGAAAAACCUGCUCUUUGAACGAAUGGAUCUAUUUGUGUUUUGUCAGCAGUACGGUACAGAAGUUCCUGGAAAUGAACACGAUGAUCCCUCCUUUCGUAGAUGAAAACUGCUCCUUCCCCCGUUUCAGUAUACCGUGUGCAUACCUGUGUGUUUCUGUGCAUGUUCACGGCAUGUGUGUGUGUGUGUGUGUUCUUUUUACUUUUCCUUAAAUGCAUACAGUACUGUUGAUAUUUAUGUACUCUAGCCGCUGUAAGGAGAAACUGUAUUUCAGUGAAUUGCAGAGGUGUGUUUGUUUGAAACCCCCCCCCCCCC
Molecule: RNA transcript, 3863 nt
Organism: Pleuronectes platessa (European plaice)
Lineage: Eukaryota; Metazoa; Chordata; Actinopteri; Pleuronectiformes; Pleuronectidae
Gene name: RNA-binding protein with multiple splicing
Exons: 9
Source: RefSeq, a predicted model, not a curated record